Molecule: ribosomal RNA, 253 nt
Filed under: uncultured bacterium
Lineage: Bacteria
Description: partial 16S ribosomal RNA
Rfam family: Bacterial small subunit ribosomal RNA
Source: RNAcentral
UACAGAGGUGACUAACGUUGUCCGGAAUUAUUGGGCGUAAAGGGCGCGUAGGUGGUCAGGCAAGUCAGGUGUGAAAGCUCUGGGCUUAACCCAGGAAUUGCAUCUGAUACUGCUUGACUUGAGUACGGUAGAGGAGGGUGGAAUUCCCAGUGUAGCGGUGAAAUGCGUAGAUAUUGGGAGGAACACCGGUGGCGAAGGCGGCCCUCUGGACCGAAACUGACACUGAAGCGCGAAAGCUAGGGGAGCAAACGGG